Falco peregrinus (peregrine falcon) is the source of this 664-nucleotide long non-coding RNA. RefSeq lists it as uncharacterized. The transcript has 3 exons. The record is from RefSeq and is a predicted model, not a curated record. NCBI's taxonomy places the organism in Eukaryota, Metazoa, Chordata, Aves, Falconiformes, Falconidae.
GAGGCUGUUGCCGCGUCAGGCAAGGGGCUCCCCAUGGAAGAUGUAGUGUCCCCCACCUGCACAGUGGCCUGCCCGUGCAUGACGACCGUAGAGGCGAACUGUGCUGCUUGCGUCUGCGCACUGCCAGGCGACGUGGGCGAAAGGCUUGUACCAAUGUGGAUUCUGGCUUCAUUUUUGGAAUGGCGGUGUUGUUCACCUGGCUCUUGGCAGACACUUUAAUUGAGGUCCCUUUACCACGUUGUGUCAUGGUCAUAGUCUCUGUGCUCCGUUCUCCAUUGAGAGUCCUUGUAGUGGAGGAGGUCACCAGUGAUGUUUCAGGAUACGAAAGACUUGCAUUGGAUUAUCCCAGAAAGAGCAAAUGGAAGAAAAAUCAAGUACAAAAUACCAAGACAAUAGUAAACAGCAUAAAUAAAGAAUCAGAGAUACAACUGAAACAAACCCAUACCCAGAGUUCACAAUCUGACUCAGAAACUGCGGCUUCCAAACAGGGAUCUCAUGGACUGGUCAAAAUGCUCUACUCCGGAAAUAAGAAUAGCAGAAAAUAGAGAGAAGCUUUCUGUGCAGGAGAGGAGGUAUGUCUUCUAGGAGAGAGGAGGUAUGUUCUGCAUCUGAGCAGGGCACAAAAACAAAACCACACCAACAUCAGAGAAUAUGUCUGCCUCAC